CCUACGGGAGGCAGCAGUGAGGAAUAUUGGUCAAUGGGCGAGAGCCUGAACCAGCCAAGUCGCGUGAGGGAGUACUGCCCUAUGGGUUGUAAACCUCUUUUGUCGGGGAGCAAAAGCCGGACGUGUCCGGCUGAUAGAGUACCCGAAGAAAAAGGCUCGGCUAACCUCGUGCCAGUAGCCGCGGUAAUACGGAGGAUGCGAGCGUUUUCCGAAUUUAUUGGGUUUAAAGGGGGCGCAGGCGGAUUUUUAAGUUCGCGGUCAAAUCGUGGGGCUUAACCCCCUCCAGCCGUUGAAACUGGGGAUCUAGAGUGUGCGAGAGGUAUGCGGAAUGCGUGGUGUAGCGGUGAAAUGCAUAGAUAUCACGCAGAACCCCGAUUGCGAAGGCAGCAUACCGGUGCACAACUGACGCUCAGGCACGAAAGCGUGGGUAUCGAACAGGAUUAGAUACCCGAGUAGUC
RNAcentral lists this ribosomal RNA (458 nucleotides) under uncultured bacterium. RNAcentral describes it as "partial 16S ribosomal RNA". It matches the Rfam family "Bacterial small subunit ribosomal RNA", at positions 338 to 795 of the family's 1533-position model. The record is from RNAcentral.